GSCGUAUACAUGCAGUCGAACGCUUCUUUCCUCCCGAGUGCUUGCACUCAAUUGGAAAGAGGAGUGGCGGACGGGUGAGUAACACGUGGGUAACCUACCCAUCAGAGGGGGAUAACACUUGGAAACAGGUGCUAAUACCGCAUAACAGUUUAUGCCGCAUGGCAUAAGAGUGAAAGGCGCUUUCGGGUGUCGCUGAUGGAUGGACCCGCGGUGCAUUAGCUAGUUGGUGAGGUAACGGCUCACCAAGGCCACGAUGCAUAGCCGACCUGAGAGGGUGAUCGGCCACACUGGGACUGAGACACGGCCCAGACUCYUACGGGAGGCAGCAGUAGGGAAUCUUCGGCAAUGGACGAAAGUCUGACCGAGCAACGCCGCGUGAGUGAAGAAGGUUUUCGGAUCGUAAAACUCUGUUGUUAGAGAAGAACAAGGACGUUAGUAACUGAACGUCCCCUGACGGUAUCUAACCAGAAAGCCRCGGCUAACUACGUGCCAGCAGCCGCGGUAAUACGUARGUGGMAAGCGUUGUCCGGAUUUAUUGGGCGUAAAGCGAGCGCAGGCGGUUUCUUAAGUCUGAUGUGAAARCCCCCGGCUCAACCGGGGAGGGUCAUUGGAAACUGGRGAGACUUGAGUGCAGAAGAGGAGAGUGGAAUUCCAUGUGUAGCGGUGAAAUGCGUASAURUAUGGAGGAACACCWGUGKCGMAGGCGKCUCUCUGGUCUGUAACUGACGCUGAGGCUCGAAAGCGUGKSGAGC
Molecule: ribosomal RNA, 752 nt
Filed under: Enterococcus faecalis
Lineage: Bacteria; Bacillati; Bacillota; Bacilli; Lactobacillales; Enterococcaceae
Description: bacterial SSU rRNA
Source: RNAcentral